CCCUCGGGAUGUAAACUUCGCAAGAACGGGAAGAAUAAGUAGGGGACAAUACCCCCUAUGAUGACGGUACCGUUUGUAAGCUCCGGCUAACUCCGUGCCAGCAGCCGCGGUAAUACGGGGGGAGCAAGCGUUGUUCGGAUUUACUGGGCGUAAAGGGCGCGUAGGCGGCCAGCACAAGUCAGUUGUGAAAUCUCCGAGCUUAACUCGGAAAGGUCAACUGAUACUGUGCGGCUAGAGUGCGGAAGGGGCAACUGGAAUUCUUGGUGUAGCGGUGAAAUGCGUAGAUAUCAAGAGGAACACCUGCGGCGAAGGCGGGUUGCUGGGCCGACACUGACGCUGAGGCGCGAAAGCUAGGGGAGCGAACGGGAUUAGAUACCCCGGUAGUCCUAGCCUUAAACGAUGAAUGCUUGGUGUCUGGGGUUAUAAAGUCCCCGGGUGCCGUCGCUAACGCUUUAAGCAUUCCGCCUGGGGAGUACGGUCGCAAGACUGAAACUCAAA
Molecule: ribosomal RNA, 498 nt
Filed under: uncultured bacterium
Lineage: Bacteria
Description: bacterial SSU rRNA
Rfam family: Bacterial small subunit ribosomal RNA
Source: RNAcentral